Molecule: ribosomal RNA, 544 nt
Filed under: uncultured bacterium
Lineage: Bacteria
Description: bacterial SSU rRNA
Rfam family: Archaeal small subunit ribosomal RNA
Source: RNAcentral
AGAAAAUAGAUACCCUGGUAGUCCCAGCCGUAAACGAUGCUCGCUAGGUGUCAGGCAUGGCGCGACCGUGUCUGGUGCCGCAGGGAAGCCGUGAAGCGAGCCACCUGGGAAGUACGGCCGCAAGGCUGAAACUUAAAGGAAUUGGCGGGGGAGCACAACAACGGGUGGAGCCUGCGGUUUAAUUGGACUCAACGCCGGACAACUCACCGGGGGCGACAGCAAUAUGUAGGCCAGGCUGAAGACCUUGCCUGAAUCGCUGAGAGGAGGUGCAUGGCCGUCGCCAGUUCGUACUGUGAAGCAUCCUGUUAAGUCAGGCAACGAGCGAGACCCGUGCCCACUGUUACCAGCAUGUCCUCCGGGACGAUGGGUACUCUGUGGGGACCGCCGAUGUUAAAUCGGAGGAAGGUGCGGGCCACGGUAGGUCAGUAUGCCCCGAAUCUCCCGGGCUACACGCGGGCUACAAUGGAUGGGACAAUGGGUCCCUCCCUCGAAAAGGGCUGGUAAUCUCACAAACCCAUUCGUAGUUCGGAUCGAGGGCUGUAAC